GACGAACGCUGGCGGCGUGCUUAACACAUGCAAGUCGAACGAAGAGCGAUGGAAGCUUGCUUCUAUCAAUCUUAGUGGCGAACGGGUGAGUAACGCGUAAUCAACCUGCCCUUCAGAGGGGGACAACAGUUGGAAACGACUGCUAAUACCGCAUACGAUCUAAACUCGGCAUCGAGGAUAGAUGAAAGGUGGCCUCUACAUGUAAGCUAUCACUGAAGGAGGGGAUUGCGUCUGAUUAGCUAGUUGGAGGGGUAACGGCCCACCAAGGCGAUGAUCAGUAGCCGGUCUGAGAGGAUGAACGGCCAAAUUGGGACUGGGACACGGCCCAGACUCCUACGGGAGGCAGCAGUGGGGAAUCUUCCGCAAUGGACGAAAGUCUGACGGAGCAACGCCGCGGGAGGGAGGACGGCCUUCGGGUUGGAAAGCUCUGUUAAUCGGGACGAAAGGCCUUCUUGCGAAUAGUGAGAAGGAUUGACGGUACCGGAAGAGAAAGCCACGGCUAACUACGUG
RNAcentral lists this ribosomal RNA (510 nucleotides) under uncultured bacterium. RNAcentral's name for it is "partial 16S ribosomal RNA". It matches the Rfam family "Bacterial small subunit ribosomal RNA", at positions 28 to 507 of the family's 1533-position model. The record is from RNAcentral.